UGGCGGACGGGUGAGUAACGCGUGGGUAACCUGCCCCAUACCGGGGGAUACCACCUGGAAACAGGUGCUAAUACCGCAUAAGCGCACGGGAGCGCAUGCUCCUGUGUGAAAAACUCCGGUGGUAUGGGAUGGACCCGCGUCUGAUUAGCCAGUUGGCAGGGUAACGGCCUACCAAAGCGACGAUCAGUAGCCGGCCUGAGAGGGUGGACGGCCACAUUGGGACUGAGACACGGCCCAGACUCCUACGGGAGGCAGCAG
RNAcentral lists this ribosomal RNA (258 nucleotides) under uncultured bacterium. Its description in RNAcentral is "partial 16S ribosomal RNA". It matches the Rfam family "Bacterial small subunit ribosomal RNA", at positions 96 to 354 of the family's 1533-position model. The record is from RNAcentral.